Molecule: transfer RNA, 84 nt
Filed under: Phycisphaerales bacterium
Lineage: Bacteria; Pseudomonadati; Planctomycetota; Phycisphaerae; Phycisphaerales
Also listed under: 2 other names
Description: tRNA-Leu
Rfam family: tRNA
About the family: Transfer RNA (tRNA) molecules are approximately 80 nucleotides in length. Their secondary structure includes four short double-helical elements and three loops (D, anti-codon, and T loops). Further hydrogen bonds mediate the characteristic L-shaped molecular structure. tRNAs have two regions of fundamental functional importance: the anti-codon, which is responsible for specific mRNA codon recognition, and the 3' end, to which the tRNAs corresponding amino acid is attached (by aminoacyl-tRNA synthetases). tRNAs cope with the degeneracy of the genetic code in two manners: having more than one tRNA (with a specific anti-codon) for a particular amino acid; and 'wobble' base-pairing, i.e. permitting non-standard base-pairing at the 3rd anti-codon position.
Source: RNAcentral
GCCCAGGUGGCGGAACUGGCAGACGCGCUACCUUGAGGUGGUAGUCCCAGAAAUGGGGUGGAGGUUCGAGUCCUCUCCUGGGCA